CGGACGGGUGAGUAACGCGUGGGGAACCUGCCCUGUACAGGGGGAUAACACUUAGAAAUAGGUGCCAAUACCGCAUAAGCGCACAGUAUCGCAUGAUACAGUGUGAAAAACUCCGGUGGUACAGGAUGGACCCGCGUCUGAUUAGCUGGUUGGCGGGGUAACGGCCCACCAAGGCGACGAUCAGUAGCCGGCCUGAGAGGGUGAACGGCCACAUUGGGACUGAGACACGGCCCAAACUCCUACGGAAGGCAGCAG
Molecule: ribosomal RNA, 255 nt
Filed under: uncultured bacterium
Lineage: Bacteria
Description: partial 16S ribosomal RNA
Rfam family: Bacterial small subunit ribosomal RNA
Source: RNAcentral